UACGAAGGGGGCUAGCGUUGCUCGGAAUCACUGGGCGUAAAGAGUGCGUAGGCGGGUCUUUAAGUCAGGGGUGAAAUCCUGGAGCUCAACUCCAGAACUGCCUUUGAUACUGAGGAUCUUGAGUCCGGGAGAGGUGAGUGGAACUGCGAGUGUAGAGGUGAAAUUCGUAGAUAUUCGCAAGAACACCAGUGGCGAAGGCGGCUCACUGGCCCGGUACUGACGCUGAGACGCGAAAGCGUGGGGAGCGAACAGG
This 253-nucleotide ribosomal RNA is filed under the name uncultured bacterium. RNAcentral's name for it is "partial 16S ribosomal RNA". It matches the Rfam family "Bacterial small subunit ribosomal RNA", at positions 524 to 776 of the family's 1533-position model. The record is from RNAcentral.